UACGGGGGGGGCAAGCGUUGUUCGGAAUUACUGGGCGUAAAGGGCGCGUAGGCGGCCUUCUAAGUCGAACGUGAAAUCCCCGGGCUCAACCCGGGAACUGCGUCCGAUACUGGAAGGCUUGAAUCCGGGAGAGGGAUGUGGAAUUCCAGGUGUAGCGGUGAAAUGCGUAGAUAUCUGGAGGAACACUGGUGGCGAAGGCGACAUCCUGGACCGGUAUUGACGCUGAGGCGCGAAAGCCAGGGGAGCAAACGGG
Molecule: ribosomal RNA, 253 nt
Filed under: uncultured bacterium
Lineage: Bacteria
Description: partial 16S ribosomal RNA
Rfam family: Bacterial small subunit ribosomal RNA
Source: RNAcentral